Molecule: small nucleolar RNA, 132 nt
Filed under: Meriones unguiculatus (Mongolian gerbil)
Lineage: Eukaryota; Metazoa; Chordata; Mammalia; Rodentia; Muridae
Description: Small nucleolar RNA SNORA17 (ENSMUGG00000022084.1)
Rfam family: Small nucleolar RNA SNORA17
About the family: snoRNA ACA 17 belongs to the H/ACA family of snoRNAs and is predicted to guide pseudouridylation of the 28S rRNA at positions U4659 and U4598. It shares the same host gene together with ACA43.
Source: RNAcentral
UAUGCCCUGAAGUGCUACAGCUUUGGCCGCUGUGUCACCUGUGUGUCAGUAGGUGACAGAGAGGAGAGGCAAUGCCUAUCUAUGCCCACUGUUCUGACCUAAGCACAUCUGAAUGACUAGUAGCCUAACUUC